GGUUAGAAUCCAAUGCCCCGAAACCCUAAGGGUUCCUCCGGCAGGUUCGUCCGCGGAGGGUUAGUCAGGACCUAAGGCGAGGCCAAACGGCGUAGUCGAUGGACAACGGGUAAUUAAUCCCGUACUGAUGUUGAUUUGUGCAGAGGGACGGAGAAGGCAUGAGCCAGCCGGAUGUUGGUUACCGGUG
Molecule: ribosomal RNA, 187 nt
Filed under: Chaetoceros neogracilis
Lineage: Eukaryota; Bacillariophyta; Thalassiosirophyceae; Chaetocerotales; Chaetocerotaceae
Description: partial Bacterial large subunit ribosomal RNA
Rfam family: Bacterial large subunit ribosomal RNA
Source: RNAcentral